ACACGAUAGAUAGAACUGCUCUCGUUUUGUUAUAAAAUAACAAAACUGUUUUAAGGCUGCAAUCACAACCAAAUUCAUGUAUAGUUGGUAAUAAUCGCGUUGUAUCAAUGUUUCUCAUAUCCGACACUAAUAAGUGCGAAUAUGUUUCAAAUCAACUUUUUUUUAAAUUAUUUAUUUUUCCCCUUCGCGCUUGCCGUAGUUGCAAAGCAGAUUUCGCGGGCAGUUUGAGUUGGUGAUGGCGGCCACAACGUCCAUGUUGACUUCACUCGCUCUUUCUAAGCUGCCCAAGUCACGUCGGAGUUCAUUGACGGUAACUUUGUUGGCUUAAACAUCACAUUUAGGUUUAGGGUCUUCUAGGCGCGAUGCGAGACGUCACAAGCGGGCUAACGUUGAGCCAAACAGCAGCUUCGAGGCACGGGCGGAAAUGAGAAGGAGUUUGGCCCCCAGUCAGGUCGCCAAACGGAAGCAAGGGGAGGAUGAUCAUCGAGACGAAAUAUAUUAUAUUAACCACGAGCGGUUCUCGAGAGAAGAUGAAUGGAGAAAAUUGGGACAGUGAUGAAGAAGUCCAAGUUCCAUGGCCACUCAACAAAGCAGGAGGAAGGAAGCAGUCACAAACCAAAUACGUGGCAAGAAUUCUGAGAUUUGGUGAAGACACACGUGAACUGACGCCAUAUUUGAAAGCCGCUCAGGAUGGCAAGGAUGUACCCCUUACUGGUGAUUUGGAAUAUGGCAGAGGCAAGAGAAACAAACAGCCAAAGUCUUGGUCAUCAGACAGUGAGAGCAAGGAUGAAAGUGUUGAGGAGACUCUAUCUGACAGACAGCAGAAGAAAAAGAGGAAAGUAAGCCGUACAGCUGUGGGAUAUGAUGCUCGGGCACAAUUGAAGGCCCAACUUGCUGCUCUGGGAAGAACUUCACCGAAAGAUACAUGUACAGAAAUGGAAUCCCUGAAGAAGGAAGUCCUCCAGUUGAGAGAGGAAAACAAAUCCCUUCGAGAUGCAUUGAGGGUUGUUGAAGGACUUCCUGGCCUGCUAAUGAAGAUGGACGACUUAUCACGUCAGGCAACAAUACUAUCAGCUCGACGUCCUGCUGUCGCUCUGCCAGAGAGGAGCUGGCCAACAGCAGCUUGACAGGAAAAAAAUCCAAUGCUUUUAAGGAUAAGCAUGAGAAACCAAAACUGGAUGACAAGAAAGUGUCUGCUAUUAUUGAUUUUGUGAAGAAGCUCCAUCCCUCAAGUGAAUCAAAUGUGAUAAAGAAAAUCAUUGGAGUGAAACUGAACAUUGCGCAGAAAAUGGGAAAAAAAGAAGGCCUCAGAAACAAAUUCUGCUGGACGUCUAGCCGUCUCUAACAGUCGGGGAAGCGCGGUGAUCAUGUUGAUUUA
Molecule: non-coding RNA, 1378 nt
Organism: Nerophis lumbriciformis (worm pipefish)
Lineage: Eukaryota; Metazoa; Chordata; Actinopteri; Syngnathiformes; Syngnathidae
Source: RefSeq, a predicted model, not a curated record